Molecule: unclassified non-coding RNA, 234 nt
Filed under: Hyaloscyphaceae sp.
Lineage: Eukaryota; Fungi; Ascomycota; Leotiomycetes; Helotiales; Hyaloscyphaceae
Description: partial contains small subunit ribosomal RNA, internal transcribed spacer 1, and 5.8S ribosomal RNA
Rfam family: Eukaryotic small subunit ribosomal RNA (bases 1-46)
Source: RNAcentral
AAGUCGUAACAAGGUUUCCGUAGGUGAACCUGCGGAAGGAUCAUUAAAGAAACUUCGCUCCCGGGCGGAGUCUUUCUUAACCCGUGUCUACCUUACCUUUGUUGCUUUGGCGGGCCGCCUUCGGGCGUCGGCUCUGGCUGACAGCGCCUGCCAGAGGACCUAACUCUUUUGUUUAGUGAUGUCUGAGUACUAUAAUAAUAGUUAAAACUUUCAACAACGGAUCUCUUGGUUCUG